UGGGCGUUAAGUUGCAGGGUAUAGACCCGAAACCCGGUGAUCUAGCCAUGGGCAGGUUGAAGGUUGGGUAACACUAACUGGAGGACCGAACCGACUAAUGUUGAAAAAUUAGCGGAUGACCUGUGGCUGGGGGUGAAAGGCCAAUCAAACCGGGAGAUAGCUGGUUCUCCCCGAAAGCUAUUUAGGUAGCGCCUCGUGAAUUCAUCUCCGGGGGUAGAGCACUGUUUCGGCUAGGGGGCCAUCCCGGCUUACCAACCCGAUGCAAACUGCGAAUACCGGAGAAUGUUAUCACGGGAGACACACGGCGGGUGCUAACGUCCGUCGUGAAGAGGGAAACAACCCAGACCGCCAGCUAAGGUCCCAAAGUCAUGGUUAAGUGGGAAACGAUGUGGGAAGGCCCAGACAGCCAGGAUGUUGGCUUAGAAGCAGCCAUCAUUUAAAGAAAGCGUAAUAGCUCACUGGUCGAGUCGGCCUGCGCGGAAGAUGUAACGGGGCUAAACCAUGCACCGAAGCUGCGGCAGCGACACUUUAGUGUUGUUGGGUAGGGGAGCGUUCUGUAAGCCGUUGAAGGUGUCCUGUGAGGGGUGCUGGAGGUAUCAGAAGUGCGAAUGCUGACAUAAGUAACGAUAAAGCGGGUGAAAAGCCCGCUCGCCGGAAGACCAAGGGUUCCUGUCCAACGUUAAUCGGGGCAGGGUGAGUCGACCCCUAAGGCGAGGCCGAAAGGCGUAGUCGAUGGGAAACGGGUUAAUAUUCCCGUACUUGGUGUUACUGCGAAGGGGGGACGGAGAAGGCUAUGUUGGCCGGGCGACGGUAGUCCCGGUUUAAGCGUGUAGGCUGGUUUUCCAGGCAAAUCCGGAAAAUCAAGGCUGAGGCGUGAUGACGAGGCACCACGGUGCUGAAGCAACAAAUGCCCUGCUUCCAGGAAAAGCCUCUAAGCAUCAGGUAACAUCAAAUCGUACCCCAAACCGACACAGGUGGUCAGGUAGAGAAUACCAAGGCGCUUGAGAGAACUCGGGUGAAGGAACUAGGCAAAAUGGUGCCGUAACUUCGGGAGAAGGCACGCUGACACGUAGGUGAAGUGAUUUACUCAUGGAGCUGAAGUCAGUCGAAGAUACCAGCUGGCUGCAACUGUUUAUUAAAAACACAGCACUGUGCAAACACGAAAGUGGACGUAUACGGUGUGACGCCUGCCCGGUGCCGGAAGGUUAAUUGAUGGGGUCAGCGCAAGCGAAGCUCCUGAUCGAAGCCCCGGUAAACGGCGGCCGUAACUAUAACGGUCCUAAGGUAGCGAAAUUCCUUGUCGGGUAAGUUCCGACCUGCACGAAUGGCGUAAUGAUGGCCAGGCUGUCUCCACCCGAGACUCAGUGAAAUUGAACUCGCUGUGAAGAUGCAGUGUACCCGCGGCAAGACGGAAAGACCCCGUGAACCUUUACUAUAGCUUGACACUGAACAUUGAGCCUUGAUGUGUAGGAUAGGUGGGAGGCUUUGAAGCGUGGACGCCAGUCUGCGUGGAGCCGACCUUGAAAUACCACCCUUUAAUGUUUGAUGUUCUAACGUGGACCCGUAAUCCGGGUUGCGGACAGUGUCUGGUGGGUAGUUUGACUGGGGCGGUCUCCUCCUAAAGAGUAACGGAGGAGCACGAAGGUUGGCUAAUCCUGGUCGGACAUCAGGAGGUUAGUGCAAUGGCAUAAGCCAGCUUGACUGCGAGCGUGACGGCGCGAGCAGGUGCGAAAGCAGGUCAUAGUGAUCCGGUGGUUCUGAAUGGAAGGGCCAUCGCUCAACGGAUAAAAGGUACUCCGGGGAUAACAGGCUGAUACCGCCCAAGAGUUCAUAUCGACGGCGGUGUUUGGCACCUCGAUGUCGGCUCAUCACAUCCUGGGGCUGAAGUAGGUCCCAAGGGUAUGGCUGUUCGCCAUUUAAAGUGGUACGCGAGCUGGGUUUAGAACGUCGUGAGACAGUUCGGUCC
RNAcentral lists this ribosomal RNA (1966 nucleotides) under Salmonella enterica subsp. diarizonae. RNAcentral describes it as "partial 23S ribosomal RNA". It matches the Rfam family "Bacterial large subunit ribosomal RNA", at positions 689 to 2637 of the family's 2925-position model. Lineage: Bacteria; Pseudomonadati; Pseudomonadota; Gammaproteobacteria; Enterobacterales; Enterobacteriaceae. The record is from RNAcentral.